Poecilia reticulata (guppy) is the source of this 559-nucleotide non-coding RNA. Lineage: Eukaryota; Metazoa; Chordata; Actinopteri; Cyprinodontiformes; Poeciliidae. The record is from RefSeq and is a predicted model, not a curated record.
UUCAAGUGUACUAGCAGAUAUACACCAAAAACUAGACCAGAGAGCGUUUGUAAGAUUGUUUCUAGAGAGUGCGCUCUCUAACUUCUGCUCUCUCUCCCGUUUUUGUUUUCUUUUAAUCACUUUUAUUAUUCGUCGUGUCGCUGCUGCUGCUGCUGGAGCGAAAAGGCAAUUUGCAAGUCGGAUAUUUCAUCAGACAGCAGAGAGGGGCGAUCACAAUGAGCGGGGAAAUGACAGAGAAGGAGGAGUAGGAGAGGAUUAAACAAAUGAAAAGAGGAUGACGAGGGAGAGGAGGCGGCAGAGGAGGAGGAGGAAGAACGCAUGGGGAAACCUGGAGCGGCAGAGGAGAUGAUGGCUGUGGAGGAUGGCUAUACUGGCCCUAACAGGCUGCCGUACCUUUGCUACAUAUCACCAGCAGCAGCCUUCACAGAGAAACCCAGAGAGGAUGAGAAAUGUAUGACACCCCAAAUGUCCCAGUGUAUGAUUAUUGAAAACAAAGUUGGAACAAUAAUUCUGACAAUGAAUAUGUCCCAGAAUGACACAGAGGAAAACACUCAGGCAG